AUGCCUCCAAGUUCUGGUAGCAGUAUAAGAUGUUUGCUUACAUUAAGCAAUACUUAUAAUAUACACAAUAUUGGCCCGCUCAUGACGCUCCGCCUCGGCGCCCUCACCACCGUCAUCGCCUCCUCGGCGGACACCGCCCGCGACGUCCUCCAGCGCCACGACGCCGCCUUCUCCGCGCGCUCCGUGUCCGACGCCGCCCGCGCGUGGGCCUACGACAGCCUCUCCAUGGGCUGGCUCCCGCCGAGCAGCCCCCACUGGCGCGCUCUCCGCAAGCUGUGCUCGGGGGAGCUCUUCGCGCCGCACCGCCUCGACGCGCACCAGUCCAUCCGCCGCGAGAAGGUGCAGCAGCUCGUGAGCCACGUCGCUCGGCUUCGCGAGAGGGCGCCGCCGUGGACGUCAGCCGCGUCGUGUUCACCACCGCGCUCAACCUGCUCUCCUGCACCAUAUUCUCAGCCGACAUCGCCGACCUCGACGACAGACAAGGGACGGGGCAGUUCAGGGCCGUGA
RNAcentral lists this ribosomal RNA (507 nucleotides) under Triticum aestivum (bread wheat). RNAcentral describes it as "partial small subunit ribosomal RNA". Lineage: Eukaryota; Viridiplantae; Streptophyta; Magnoliopsida; Poales; Poaceae. The record is from RNAcentral.